GGGGGAAUAUUGGGCAAUGGGCGCAAGCCUGACCCAGCAACGCCGCGUGAAGGAAGAAGGCUUUCGGGUUGUAAACUUCUUUUCUCAGGGACGAAGCAAGUGACGGUACCUGAGGAAUAAGCCACGGCUAACUACGUGCCAGCAGCCGCGGUAAUACGUAGGUGGCAAGCGUUAUCCGGAUUUACUGGGUGUAAAGGGCGUGUAGGCGGGCUGACAAGUCAGAUGUGAAAUCCGGGGGCUCAACCCCCGAACUGCAUUUGAAACUGUUGGUCUUGAGUAUCGGAGAGGCAGGCGGAAUUCCUAGUGUAGCGGUGAAAUGCGUAGAUAUUAGGAGGAACACCAGUGGCGAAGGCGGCCUGCUGGACGACAACUGACGGUGAGGCGCGAAAGCGUGGGGAGCAAACAGGAUUAGAUACC
This 417-nucleotide ribosomal RNA is filed under the name uncultured bacterium. RNAcentral describes it as "bacterial SSU rRNA". It matches the Rfam family "Bacterial small subunit ribosomal RNA", at positions 355 to 786 of the family's 1533-position model. The record is from RNAcentral.